AAAAGGUAGUAAAAAAAGGAAAUUUGCUUAAUACUGGUGUCUUUGGAUGGGGUAAGUUGCUAUGUGAGGUAAAAACCACACGUGGCUGUAAUUUGGUGGCCUGUAUACAGUUCCAAUCCAAGCAUGUAGUUGGUUUAAAUGGGUUUAAUACUGGUGUCUUUUGAUCACUUGACUGUAUAUAAACCUGUUGUACAAAAGGUGCAUUUUAAUUUCACUAUACCUGCCCAUCCUUGUAGCCGGUCUCUACUAGCGUGGCACAGUUUCAAGAUCAGUGUAGGGCUUCUCCACUGCCUUCACUGGACAGAACACAUCUGAG
Molecule: long non-coding RNA, 316 nt
Organism: Oreochromis aureus
Lineage: Eukaryota; Metazoa; Chordata; Actinopteri; Cichliformes; Cichlidae
Source: Ensembl